CUCGUCACGGAAACACAGGGGAACGGGUUUAAAAUACAGCCCAGUGUGCUGCUCCAAGGCGGCUGUUCCUAUGAAAAAACUCACUCCUGCUGUCUCCCCCUCAUUUGACCCGUGUUCAAAGAGCAGUUUAAAGAGAUAAUUUGCAGGGUGCUGUGCUACUGGCACAGUCUUUGACCUUUGAGGCAAUCAAGCAAAUCGGAUGACUCUUAAUUACGAAAGCCACGAAACACACCUUCCCAUUGACCUCACGCUGGCCACUGGGGACAGUACUUGAAAGCAGAAACCUGAAGAAUUCAAGCUGACAUGUUUCCUUAGCAGCUUAAGGACGUCCCUGCCAAGUUUAUGCCAGGCGUUCGUGAGUAGGGGACAGCUAAGCGUCCUGAUGCCCACUGCAUGAUGUGCUUUGACUGCAAAACUUAUCAUCUUCUGGCUUCCCAGCAACAGAAAAGCAGCAAGAAAACUCACUGUAUGAGUCUGUGUGUAGAAGAAGGGGUUAGGUCCUAACUCCACGCGCCUUGGGUCCCUGCUCCUGGAGACCCUUGUGAGCUGUUCAGCCCAUUCUGUCUUUGCAUUCCAGGUCUGGGCUGAAACUGCAGAUCCAGAGCAGAGGAUCCUUUCCGCAUGCCGCAGCAUCCCUGAGCAGACUCUGGGCAGUGCAGAAGAUGACCCAGCCAUUCCCCAAGAGAUCUCUGCAGGGGCUGAUAACCUGUACUCCAGGCACACAGGAGACAUGGACCCUGGAUCUUCAUUGCAGGGGGGAAAAGACCAGAAGGCCAGCUGCUAGGCUCACCAUUAACUAUUCAAGUCAUCAUGACCAGCUCUGAAAACAGCAGUUCUUCUAAGACAUGUGUCCACUCAUCUGCCUUCCCCGUUCCCGGUUUCCUGUGCAAAUGGAAGAUGUCAAGUGUUUGCUGACACUGCUGGCUGGUGCUUCACUGAACCAGGAUUCGUGAUGGGUUUUGCAAGCCUGGGUACGAGCAGUAUUGUGCAUUGACCUGCUCCUGCUGCUUUUCAUGUGUGACAGAAACAUCCCUGACCUUCAGCAGUGGUGCCUUUUGAUGGCACCAGAGCCUUGGAUCACUGCCUGGAGCAGCUUCAAGGUGCUGCAUCACCUGGGAAGAAGCAACCUGAAGGUCAGCUGCUCCAUGAUGAUCCCUGUGUGCAGGCUUCCUGGUCUAUGGGAGGCACGUGUAGGGUCUGCACCCUAGAUGGGAAAGGAAGUAAGACUGUAAUUGUAUUUCAAAGAACUUUCCAAGAGCUGCAUUUAGCACCAACACUUAAACUGCCUUGCUCAGGUAUCCUGAAGGGAAAAAAAUAAAUAGCCAAGACACUGCUUUUCUGCAGUGCCUCCCUAGCAUGCCAGAGCAUCGUUUUUCAGUAACUUGUUAAUGUGGGAUGAAAAGUAGCUUGACUUUCUGAGAGAGCAGGCUGUAUUUAUUUCCUUUCAUGCUUUCUGGCAAAGCGACCUGCUGUGUACUUGUGCCAUGUGCUCACUGUGAAACCUGGAAGUGACUCAAGGCACUUCAUUCCUUUCACCUCUGAUCUUGGCCUUGGGCCGCAGGAAGUUUUUCCUGCCCCGAGAAGGUGAUGAAACAGCAUCCACCGAGACUUAGUCCGGCGGAGGGGUGCUGGGACCAGCUUCGUGCGCCAGUUCUCACCAGCAGCCCGACUCCCAGGAAGAAUCGCUUCGCUUGGAAAAGACCUUCAAGAUUAUGGAGUACAACCAUUAACCGAACACUGCCAAGUCCUCCGCUAAACCAUGUCCCAUGCACCACAUCUACACGUGGUAGAAAUACCUCCAGGGAUUGUGACACCACCACCCUGGGCAGCCUGUUCCAGAGCCUGACAACCCUUUCCGUGAAUACAUUUUUCCUAACAUCCAGCCUCCCCUGGUGCAACUUGAGGCCAAUUCCUCUAAUCCUACCACUUGUUACGUGGGAGAAGAGACCGAGCCCCACCUCACUACAACUUCCUUCCAGGUAGCUGCAGAGCGCAGUAAGGUUUCCGCUCAGCGUCUUUUUCUCCAGGCUAAACGACUCCAGUUCCCCCAGCCACUCCUCAUAAGGCUUGUGCUUUAGAUCCUUCACCAGCUUCGUUGCCCUCCUGUGGACCUGCUGCAGCACUUCAGUGUCCUUGUAAUGAGUGAGGGGCCCAGAGCUGAACACAGAAUUCAAGGUGCAGCCUCACCAGUGCCAAGGUACUGGGGGACAACCACUACCCUACUCCUGAUGGUCUAUCCUGGCUAUUUCUGAUACAAGCCAGGAUGCUGUUGGCUCUCUUGGCCACCUGGACACACUGCUGGCUCAUAUUCAGUUGGCCAUGGACCAACCUUUCUGCAGGGCAUCUUUCCAGCCACUCUGCCCCAAGCCUGUAGGGUAGCAUUGCCUGGAGUUGUUGUGACCUGAGUGUAGGACCCAGCACUUGCCCUCGUUGAACCUCAUGUAAUUGGCCUCAGGCCAUCGAUCCAGCCUGCCCAAAUCCUCUUUCUACCCUCAAGCAUAUCAAACUGCUUGCCUAAUUUGUCUUGUCUGCAAACUUACUGUGGAUACACUCAAUCCCCAUGUCCAGAUAAUCGAUAUAUUCCUCCUGCUAUGUCUUGUCAUCUGUUGCUUUUAAAAUUUUCUUUCAACAUCUCCUUCUAUGUUGUUUAAUGUUCCAAUUUUUAAAUUCUUGCCUAUGUUUCUUGUACCUUCUGGCUUUUUGAAUUCUCUUUCUGUGUUUCUGUACUGGGUUUAUGUGUCAAGGUUUUGGUAGUGGCAGUGCUGCAGUUGUGGCUCCUGUGAGAAGACAUCUGGAGCUGCCUUCAUGGUGGAUGGAGCCAGUUCCAGCAGGCUGCAGGAGGGACCUGCCACUGGCCAAAGCUCAGCCACAGCUCUCCAGGUGUGGCCUCACCCGUGCGGAGUAGAGGGAAUGUUUAUUAGACUUUGCUCCUGCCCCAAACAAUGUGGCUUCCCUGGAGGCUGUAAGAAAGAGAGGUAUUUCUGUCCACUGUCCCAUCAGUGUAGCACGUGAGGGAGAUGCCUGUCAUCAAGAUACAGAAGGCAAUGGGAGCUGUGCAGCAUAGUUUUCGUAUCCACCUUGUAAAAUUAAAUAAUUUCCUAUGGCCAGAACUGGUUAUGAAAGGUGUGUCUAUUCACACUAGAACUGAGUUUGAAGACACAUGGAAAAAAGUUCUCACUUUAAUUAUAAAGGUCUAGCAUCUCUAUUUGUAGCAGGAAGGCUCUGUGGGAAAAGGGAUUAUUUGCCUUAAUAAGUGGUUGCAACCUCCACCUAGAAAUAAACAUGGUUUCAUAAUUGAGAAGCCAGGAUGUUUUAUAUAGCUCCCUGUAAAUCUUUGGAAACAUAGAGGAAGCAACAUCUCCUGUCUUGUCCUCUAGCUUUCCCAUGAAACUGUCUAACCCUUUUGAGAUUUUUGUCUCUACCACCCAACAUUAUUGGCCUUUGUAAUUAGGCUCCUCAACAUGAAGUGGUUUUAUAGUACCCUUUUCUACUAAUUGUUACCUAAGAUAAGGACGUUAAAUUUCAGAAACUUGCCUGCUCUCAACUUCCAUAUAUCAAAUCAGUCCCAAGGAUCUUUCUAUAGCUUAGAAGAAAGGAGAAGUCACUAACCUUAUCAGACAGUGCUGAUGAAGUGAAGGCGCCUUUCGAGUCAGGGCAAGCUGGCAGCACACAGCUCAGCCAACACUUCUGCUUGUUUUAAAAAAAGAAAGGGCCAUGAGGGUCUUGUCCUUUCAGGUUUCCAGUUUACACAAGAUGGGUUUCUAUUAAUUCCGUUAAAUUAUCAUCCUUUUAGUAACAUUUUCUUCAUGCUACGUAUGUCAAAAAAAUGUUUAAGCGUACAUAGGAUAUUUAACUUUUUUUUUAACCACCAGAGAAAACUAGCGGUUCCUACCAGAACAGCCACUUUUAUAAGCAUUUGGUAUUUUUUUUUAACCACAAAACCAGAAAAUAAUCAACAGAAACCAUGCUUUGCUUAACCUUUAAACACACCAGAAAAACGCCAGGAAACUUUCUCCAAAAAUCUGACAGUAGGGCUGGGCUUUUCUUUCUGUGGAAGAUCUAUCCAGUUGAUUUAUUUAACCAUCUUUAACAUGAACGUAAAUUAAUUGUAAGAAUCCAAGAAAAGUUACUUAUUUUAACAAAAUGAAAACUCAAGAGACCUGGCUAGUUUUUGUUGAUUUCUGUAACUGCUGUGUUCUGGUUUGUUGUUGUUUUUUUUCCUAUGGAAUAUUGAUGAAUAUACCACACAAUAAGUAUUCCUGUAUAACUGAUUUAUAUACUCAUGUUUGAGGAAGGAAUUAUCAGCAUUACACUCGGUAUCUAAAUCAGGAAAAUUAUUCUUUCUAGAUGUCAAAAACAACUUUUCCUUUCCGGGUGGCCUCCCUGGUAGGUGCCCAGCCCCUGCUCCGCGCACGGGCACCCAGGGCUCUCCUUGGAGGCAGCUCCCUCUCCCCGCCCCAUCCCAGACCUCUCUGGACUGCUCGACUGCGCAGCUGCGGAUCCCAGAACUUUCCAGAAGGACGAACGGCGCAGGUGCAGCAGCUGGCUGGUUCUUCUCCUCUCCUCUCCGAGGCUGGUUGCCGGGGACAGGGCGCUGUAAAGCGGUGGAAGCAGCGGGCGCUUCUCCACCCGCGGGCAGGACCCGAGGCUGGAGUUUGGCAGAGCCCAAGGCGCUGGGAAGGACCUCGCUGGAGCGAAGGGUGGUGACCCGUUUGUCCUGUCCUCUCGUCUGUCUGCCUUUCCCUUCUUUCUUCUUUUCUUCUAAGAAGUAAAGAGCUGCGAAGUCCUCGCCGCUUCCCCCGGUUGGAUCCAUUCCCCGGUGGCGGGAGGAGUCGCUGUGAGUCGGCAGCCUCCCCCCAGGGCCCCCAGUAGCAUCUGAGCGGGGAGCUCCCGGUAAAGCGCUGCCCCCCAGGGCAUUGCCCACGGCUGCCUUUCUAGCCCCGCUGCCGCCCGGACAUAAAGGUUGCAGGAAAAAUGCUAAGGUUUGCUCUGUGUGACUUCGUUUCUGCCUACAGCAAGCAGAUAUAAAGGAAUGGAUUCAUCAAACCUAAAUUUAAUUUGGAGUAACGCUGGCCAACAGUUAGGUGUGAUUUAGGCAGAAAAAAAAAACCGGGUCUGAGUGCUUUUCCAGGCGGUAUCACUUCUUGGUGAUUUCAUAUCAUUGCUAUAGCCUGUUUGAUGUUCCACUUUGGAUUUUGCUUCAGAUUUGCAGGACUUAGCUGGCCCUAAGUGUCCACAUGGCAGCUUAAGCCUAGAUGCAGGCAGGCUUGUCCCGUUGACAGUGUUUCCCUUAGAACCCUGGCUCGCAUGAGAACCUCCCUGUCUUUCUAUUUCCUUGUGCAAAACCGGCUUUCCUUCUUUAUGGGUUAAUGAAAAAAAAAAAUAAUUAAAAAAUGGUGUGAGUCCCACUGCAAUGAAACAUAAUGGCAAAGCAUAUAAAUGAUGAAGAAAAAGCUGCUGCUAGGAUGGAUCACUUCCCAGCCUUCCUACCAACGGGGCAGCACGCUGCACUGCUCGCCAGCCUUUUGCUGCAGCUCUCCCAGUGUCCCAGGAGUGGGGAAUGGGCAGGGAAGCUGCUUUUCUGCUGCCCUCGCUGCCUCGGAGGGUGGAUUGGAGAUACCCUGUGCAGGCAGAGCCAAGAUGCUGAAAGUACUAUGGUUGGAGGUUUUCACAGAGCAGAAAGCUGUUUAGACAAAAAUAAUGGUCUUUCUGUAGAAGUACAAUUAAAUCUGCUCUCUGUAGGGAAUAAAGACCAGAUGUUACAUGCUGCCUCUUAGUUUUUUACUUCUGCAAAUUAAACAGCGUGGGGGGACAGAUAGAACCUGCACUUUAUAAUCUUCUGCCCUUUUAGAUUACACGUUGGAUUAUUCAGAUUUAUGUGUUUUAGGACAUUUCGGUGUAAAGUAUUGGCAUUGCUAAAAAUCUGGUGUGGGGUUUUUUUUUUUCUCCCUAAGCAAAUAAUUAACAAGAUUUUGUAUUUCUGAAUGCUCUCAUUUUUUUUUUCCACGGUGUUUUAUAGGACAGUCUGAAAUUUAUCCAUAAAACUGGUAAAUUUCUGAUGGUAGGCAAUUUUCUUUUUUUUCACAAGCUUGUCUUAUAUCGUUAUUAUGCUUCUCUUAAAGUUUUGGUUUCUUCUGUAAAAGAUUACUUUGCAAAAGUGUCCUAGUGAGGUCAUUGGGCAUUUUCCUUAUCAGUAAUUUCCUACCCAAUUUGCGUAUUGUGCAGGUUAAAGUCUCCCUCUAUUGUCAACACAGCUAUAGUUAAUAAUGCAGUUUAGUCUGGUGAUAAUUUAUUCCAGCUAAUGAUGUAUGAGAUGUAAAAAGCCCCAAGGAGGAGUUUGGGGGACUGGUAAUUAGGAGGGCAAAAAUUUCCAAACCAAACAUUCCCACGUUUUUUCCUUGCAAACUCAGCGUAUCAUAUUCUGAAGUCACUGAGACACCAUGGAGCCUUGCUUUUUUUUACAGUCUCUUGGUGGUGGAAUCACACUUUAAAUCAUCCUGCAAAAGCAUGACUUGGUUAACACUUCAUUAUACAAGGAGAUUUCCACUAUGCUGUAGUUGGCAGGAAAAUCUGACUUUCCUCAUGUAUUUUAUCCAUCACCCACUUCAAAUUAAGAAAAUGUGACUUUAGAAGUUUUUGUCUAGAAAGCAUAUGCCUGAAUGUCUGUUUACCCAAUCAUCAGUUGUACUAGGUGGGUAUGUUAAAAAUACGAAAGAUCAGAUACCAUAGUUAAAUUAAGACACUCCUGUGAUAUUUUUUUUUCCUUCAAGGAAUAAAUAUUUAAUUGUGAAGCAGCAUUUGAAGAGUAGCAUGUUUCAUCUGUAGGACCGUUAAUAGCUUGCAGUAUAAUUUUACAAUGUGGCCAGUUAAAUUAAUUUAGUAAGUGGAGAACAUGGUUAUUUGCUCCCAUAAGCAUUUUCAGACUGCCACCUGUUGAAGUGACAUAAUAACUGGAGCAUAGGUGGUCCCAGGCCAAGUGAUCCCUUUUACAGCUUGUGUUACGAUGGUGGGAGCCUCCAAAAUAUUUAAGGGUAUCCAGUGGUGUAGGAAAUCUGCCGGUCGUAAUCUUGGUAGAAGAUUAUUUUUCAAAAAGCAGAAAAUAGACUUGCCAGUAGAAUAAUAACUAUAUCCAGUUCCCAAGGAUGUUCACACUCUUGUGACACUGGCAUUCAAGCCUCUAAAAAUGUGUGGAUACUUAGGACUCUUGUACAGGUGAAGCCCAAACCUUUUCUUCAAUUUUAGGUAUUUUCUUUAAGCAAGACUCCAAUUUGCAAUAUUUAUAAAUUCAAACAGGCUAUAUGCAACUGCACAAUAAGCUGAAUUUUAGUUUUGUAUCCUUUUAAGAUAAAAAUUUAAGUUAUAAAAGAGAGAGCCUUCUGAAAUGGGUACUCUUGCUGUUCUACUGGAAUUGUACUCAAAAGCAGGGAGAAAAACCACCCGUGGCAUUGUCAUAAAAACCAGUCCAGCUGCACUACCACAACAUGUAAUGCUUUAUUUCUGCAGCUAAUCUUUUUUUUUCUUUUUUUCUUUUUGGAUCUCUUUCAGCUAAACACAAUGUUCUAACUAGAGGUAUUUCAGUAGGCAUGGGCUUAUGCAGAAAGACUUGUCAGCCCUGGGCUCAGGUGUGUAAUAAUGUCAUAUCCUGCCAAAGAAAUGAGAGAAGUAUUUAACAAAUUGCCAUCAAGAAGCUGUCUAGUGCACUUGCCUACUAUAAAUACUUUUAGACCCAGUUAUAUAACUUGUUGAAUAAAGAGUGCAGUGCAUGUUGUAGAAAAUCCCUGCUAGUCUCAUACCUUGUAUUUUUCAUUAUUCUAACACACAGGGUUGUUGGUUUUUUCCUCUUGAUGUGACUGGAUACCAGAAAAUAUUUGUAAACCUCAUUUUUUGUAAGUGUUCAAAUUGAGACAAUUUUUAACAACAUCCCAAAGCACCUUUCAUUUCAAAAUACUACAUUAUACAUUUAUAAACUGCUUAAACACAUAGAAGCAACUAAAAGGUACCCUCUGGUCUGUAAUUCUUUAGAAAAAUUAGCUUACAUUAAAUCAGUCUGUUAAUUGAUUCGAUCUUUAAAAUCCUCAUGAUGAUGCAGAUUCUGUCUUGAAAGCUGAAUCUUCUCCAAGAAAGAAAGCCAUGUAGUGGUACAUAAAUUUCACACAAUUUGAAAAGAGAGACUGCUAGAAGUGAAACGGUAAGGAUUAAUUUUAAAGUAGGAUGAAUUCAUACAUCUAAGAUAAAAUUGUUAGUAGCCUUUCGGUAGAGGUGUUAAAAACUCAGAUGGGCAGUGCCUUGAGCAAACUGGUCUAGGUUGGCCCGUACAGCUGUUGAUUCUGUGAAGAAUGUGGAGCCAUUGAGUAGGUUGGAAAGGACCUCAGGAGGUCGUCUGCUUCAGCUUCCUGCUCAAACCAGGUCUGGCUUCAAAGAUCAGUUAGGUUGCUCAGGGUCCUACAUGUUUUAAGUUUUUUAAAUUCUCAAGGUGGGGACUCCACCCCACCCUUUGCCCUUCAGAGCACCCUCCCAUGAGAUCCUGUCUGCUGCCCUGACAUGCCAAUGUUCAGAGUUUUUAGUCUGCUACUGCAGAUUCUGCUCUCUGCUACUGCCGUGAGUCGCCACCUUUGCCUUUAAGAAAAAAUGUAAGGCAAGAACCAGAAAAGUGCAUCUUGGACUCUGCAAAGCCACUCAGUUUUUAAAAUUGCCAGCAUUGGAUUAGAAGUUUAGUUGCUGCAUGGUAUAUCGGUUGCCUUCAGUCUGUGAAGGCAUAAGCUUGUUCCUUGUUUUUCAGUGUCAGUUUUCAAGGAGAGAAGAAGGUGGUGAAACAGUUGCCACGUCAUGGCUAUGGUUACGCUAAAUGUGCUUAUGACCUGGGAGAGAGGAAAAUUAAGCCAGCCAGAUUCAGAAAGAAGUUACCCAUUUUUUUGUUUCUGAGCUUCACACAGGGCUAUUGGUAUUUAUUUUUUUUGCCUGAAUAUUUUUAGGCUGCCUUUGAAUUACUGAUGCUCUGAGAUCUGCCAAGAGAUGUGUUGGCUGCUAUCUGAGUUGCUUCUUUACCAGCUGAUUCUUUACCAGCCUCUACUGUUUGGCAUUUCAGUGAGAGCAGAGCAGAUCAGUUUCCAUCUCCCAAAAGAGCACCCCAAAAGUUGUCUGCUUUCUAUCAGACAUAAUUCCAACUGUUUGCCUUUUUUUAACCCUCACUCCAUCUGCAUAUGGUACAGAAUUGUCUUUUUUCCUCUCUUUGUGGGUUUGUGUCACCUGUGUCUCUGGCUACCUCUAAAAAGGAGAGUUUCUAGAGAGAAGAUUUCACAUAACAUGUAAAGAGAAUUGGUUCUCAAACCAAGUGGUCAUUACUCAUCUAAAAAGAAAUGUGCUUUCCAUAACUGUUUAAGGGUCCUAAAAAAAAAAAAAAGAAAAGAAAAAGUUCUCCAUAUGCCUAAAUGUACUCAUCUCAGGAUUUGAGGACACAUUUUAAAUGAAAGAAAAAUCAGGCAAUUAAAAAAUACCUAAAUGCUGAAAUUGGCAGUGAUGAGACUGGCAUUUUUUCAAAGACAACCUAUUUGGAACUUACCUAAGUGACUAGUAAAGCAUUUUAAAUGUAUUCAGUAUUUCAGUUAUUUACAUAAGCUUUGACUGUAUAUUACAGAACUCUUCCUGUUGUGAUUUCCAGGUAUAGCAGUUACUUGAAUUAAUUUCUUGGGCAGUUCUUCAGAGGGUCAGUUCCCAGUAUUUUCCCCAUUACUGAUAAAAUCUAAAGGUACUGAAGAAAUCCUGAUGAAGACAGCUGACCUGACCACAUGGCAUCAGAACUGAUGCAACCUGAUCUGAUGGGCUUUGGCAGGACUACAUUCACUUGCCAGAGCACGAAGCUCUGGUCCCUGUGUUAAAAGCAAAAUGUCAGGGAGGAAAGGUCAGAGACAGACUUGAGAAAUUUUUGCGGAGGAGAGUCAAUUAUUUCAACUCACCACUUUAAACCUGAACUCAGUAAUAUUCUUCCCUACGUUGUGGGUUUUCCAUGGGGAUCUCCCAGUUUGUUGAAGGAAUAACCAGGCUUGAGAGGCAGUGGUUGAAGGUGGUAUAGCAACAUGUCAACCCCCUUUUUUCCACAUUAUAAAUUCAACUGUCUAGGAGGAAACCACCUUAUGACUUGGAGCACUUUAGGACAAACAUUAAUAAUAACAAAUGCUAAUUGGUCAUUAUUGCUUGAACUGAAGAUAUCAGAUUUCAUUUUCACCAGGAGGAAAUUAAAAUGUCAUGUCCUGUAAUAUGACAAGCAUGGAAUUUACUGUAGCGAUAUGUACUUGUAAUUGCCUUUAUAUGUGUAAAUAUACACAAAGCAGAACACCAGGGAGGCCGUUUUACAACAGAUUUAAUCAAGAGAACAUCUACAUCUCCUCAUAAACUUACUUAACCAACUUUGAAAAAAGAAUGAGGUUGAUUAGACAGGUUAAUGAGGUGAUGUCUUUAUAAAUGACAGAUGGCCAUGUUAGAACAGAAAGCUGUUCACUCUCCAUUUUUUAUUUUAUUUUACUUAGGAGGCUGUUUUACUAUUUUUUUACUUAUAAAAGCAUUGCUCAUGCAUUUUUGAUUAGCAGUGGUUCACUGAAAAAAAGCAAUUUCCAGUGAAACUGAACUUUUAAUGGGAUGGAUGUUGUUAUUACACUUAAGCGGUAAUAAUCAAAACUAAACUAUGAAUAUUUUUUUUUUUAAUUCCAUGUCCUUACAAACAUCCUGACCUCCCCCGCAUUGGCCUGCAAAUGGAGAAGAGUGCUUACAGAUUUGCAAGCUCAGAAGAACAUAACAAAGGAAUGGAAACAGGAAGAAGAAAGCUAGCUUUUCGUGAUAGAGCAAAUCGAAUUGUGGUGAAUUUGACAGAGUAAUUAAAAAAAAUUAGAAUUAAAAAAAGGCAGAAAUCUUAAUUAAGAAUAGUACAGAAUAUUAUUGUAGUGCAACAUUAGCUAGACUUGGAGGAAAAAGUCCACCUUGGGCAUAAUGAUUUUGCCUCAGAAUUUUCAAAGUGUAGAAUGUGGAGUAGCCUAGAUUGUUAAUCUUACCUCAGAUCUGUGAGGUAUCUGGAGGUGGAUCACAUGUACAGCAUUAACUGAAGGGAGGAUUCAUGAAGUACCUAGAAAAGACCUCUGAUGGUGUGCUCUGGGGACCCUAGCCAGGCCUGAAGAGGAGAAGGUGCAGUAGCUGAUGUGGCUGUUGAAAGCCACCAUUGCAGUAGCAGCUCUUGGCUCUUCUGUGGAUGGCAUGCUGCUUAGCAGUGGUCUGUGUGCCACCACUGGCAUGUGCCAUGAUUUGUGAAGCUCUGUCCAGAGAUUUCCACAGCCUACUCAGCUGUUAGGAAAUCACAAUUCUGCAGUUAUUUCUGCAACAUUCUUCCAUCUCAUUUCUUCUACUGUAUGAAAAAUGACAUUCCUAAGUGGUCCGGAGAUGAUGAAAAUUAGAUGUGCAUUGCUAGCCUUCUACUCUUGUUUUCCUCCUCCUUUGGCAUUUUUUACUGAUCUGAAGUGUACAGCUUCUUUGUCUGAUGCUGAUCCUUGAUUAAAACAAUGGAAUAUCUCUCUAGUCUUCCAGAUGUGAAUUUGAAAACCAGAGCCUCUGAGGAAAGUUUUUAUCUUGAAAACUUCUGUGUAGAUUUAGGAUUCACAAGAAGUACAAGACUUAAAUUCUGAAAAAAUUCUGGACCUUAGGGGCCUUUUUGCAUUUUAUCAGGGUUGGAUUAUCAGUGCGGUGAAACAAUCCUUAAGAACAUGCAUAAAACUCUGCGGGAGAUAGCUGUAAUGAAAAAUAAUUCCAGAUAUUCAAUAAGGACAAUGUGGCUGCAGGCUGUCAGAGGCUGGCUCAAAAUUUUGGCAAGCUUUCCAAAUGCUAGUGUACUGCUGACUUUUUUCUUUUUAAUAAAGUACAAUAGCAUAUCAUAAGUUCAAUUUAAAUUGGCCAUACCUACGCAAAUCAAUCAUUUCCAUAACGGUGGCUUAUCCUCAUUAACAGACACAGAUCAGCUUAUCUCUUAGGUAGGUGAGUAGGUGGCUGGCAGCUGCUGAGGUCUAGCUUUCACUAGUAACAUAGUAAUCACCAGUUUUGGGUGAUAAUUUGACAUCCUAUUUAAGUCACUACACAACUCAAUCGGCUUGUCCCACAACUCACCCCUUACUAACAUGAAGCAAGUAAAUUUCACACAGAUUAUUCAUUUAGGUAAUAGCCGUGACUGGCUUUGUGUUCCUUAUUGGCAUUUCUAACAGAUAAAUUGCUAUAACGUCAGUAGCAGUACUUAUCAAUGUGUUACCAUCUGGUCAUUACCAAACCAAGGUGGACCCAGUGCCAUGUAGAUUGUUUAAAUAUGCCUUUGCUCAAUUAGUUUCAUAAGUUCUGUCAGGAUUUUACCAUGUACUAAUACCACACCCAACCCCUGCUGCCAGAUUCCAGUUUUUCUCUGCUCCUAUUUUCCCCAGAGUUAGCUAGAUGCGCAGAGCAUUUUGAGGUGGAGGUGCAAUUUUUUUUUACUUCAUUUGGUGCUAACUGGGGUAAUCCGAUCAGUGCUGGAUUUCUGGUUUCAUAGAUGUAGUGGAUAUAGGAUGUGGGGGAUAAUACAGAAAGGAUUAUGCAAAGGAUUUGUGUCUUCAGGAAGUACUAAUUUCCUUGGUGCCUGAUGCUUAAGAUGAGGUACCCUCUUCCAGCACCUGGCUGCCUUGUAAAGCAGUACAUUUGAGUGCCCUGAUACACAGAAUACCACAGCUAAUCUAGUGAGACAAUCCUUGGUACUGUAUUGUGAUUUCUAGAAGUAAAUACAUAAAAGAAUGUCCCUUGAUACAUGACUAUUGUAGUGUUGUAAUGAAAGACACUGCAUUUUAGAAGAGCCCGCUAAACGCUGCAGUCUUCUAAAUCUUUUGUUUCUGUCUUCAUUCUGUUCCUAACCACUGACUCCCUUGAUUCUUUACUGCUCUGUAUGGACUGUCUCCCUGUAUGCCUCCUGCCACUGAUCCCUGUUUCUGUUAAAACAGUCUUUUAGCCUGUAUUCCUUUAACUUUCUGUUGUUCUGUUCUCUGUUUCAUACACCUCACUAUUUUACUGCAGUCCCUCUCCUUCCUUUCAGAACUUGAAGAUAACUCCUUUUUCGUGUCCUGCUUGCCCUCCUGUGCACAGCCUCAUGAAAUUUUUUCCCUCCAACAGAGCCUUCUCUCUGAAUCCUACACAAGUAUCUCUUCAGGAGGAGCUAUAUUGAAAAGAAAAUGAGAUAAUACAAAAAACAUAAGAGACAGAAGGUAUUUAAAAGAAGAUCAAACAGUAUGUAUUGUUAAGAGACAGCCUCACUGCCUCCAUUUUCUUUUCUUUUUGUGCAGUCACCAGUUGCUGUGCUGUCUCUGGGAAACAAUGACUUAAUCAAAAUCCUCAGGCUCUGUCUGUUCUCUUCUGUAUUUGCUUCACUGUUGUGAUCCAGAGAAGUACUAAAAGCCAGAGGGAGAUUAUACAGCUUAUGUGUUCAUUGCAGGAGCAUCUUUAAUCUUUGUAGUUGUAACUAUACAACAGAGCUGAAAGGCUCAAAGCAUCACAAUACAUACCAGUAGUGAGCUGCUCCCAUAACAAUAACGGUAUUUCAAGUUUUUAUCUCUCCUUGCUUUCUGUGAUACAGCAAAGGCCCAUAACUGCAUUUACUCCACAGAUAUUAAUUCAACUUUUGUGAGAAGCAAUUUGUUGAGGAUUUCGAAACACCCUCUGAGAUGAUACUGGAGUUUUGCUCAGAAAACCUCUCAUAAUGCCUCUCAAAACUCUUUAAUAUGGAGUUAUUUCUAGGUCUUUUGCUUCUUUUGGACUCUGCAAUAAAUUCUUGCCUUUUAAAUAGCAAAACCAGGUUAGCUGGACUUUGAAAUGUACAUGAGAAAUUACUGCAGUGCAAGCCAGGUGUACUGAGGUGAAUGGGUACAGCUGCUGCUGGGCUGGGAGCAGCUGCUUCCACAAAAUCACAGUAUCCUUUGGGUCCAGCACGGCCAGGCAAAUAAGCGCAGGCUCGAUGCCAGCUCCCUCCUGCACCCACUGCAAGAGCACAGAUCCCUCCUCUGUUGAAUGUGGCUUUUUAACUCAGGUUUCAGUGAAUAGGGCCUUAGUGAAGAAAGAUGAUUUGCAGCGUCACCUGUGUGCUAAUGUCAUAUGUCUUUGUUUUGUCCAAACACAGCAAAGGCUUUCCUACCAAAGCAGAACACAAAUGUGUUUUACAGUGCUGCCACAAGCUGGAAUCUCGGGAGGACUUUUGCAACAAUAGUUACAUCUUCUAGGGAAAAUGAAGGAGUGAAAAAAAGGCUAACAGAAGAAGAGUGGAUGUCUCAAAAGGAGAAGUAAGGAGUGCUCAUUAAAAACACCACCCAGUGAGUUGUUUUCAUAAGUUUAUUCAGAGUUUGCUGUGGUAAAAGUUUAUCCUUCCUUUGGUGUAGAUAUUUCUUCACGUGGCUUCAACAGCGUAAGAAAUUAAACUGACAUCUUGAAGAUUCUUCCUAAGCUAGGGGAACUGAAGAAACGAGCUAAAGCAGCUUCUUCUGCUCAGUACCAGCAUAAUUUCCUUAGAAAACGGAACUGCAUUUUCUAAUGCCACAUAUCUGAGACUCAUUAAGCAUUUCUUUAAUAAUUCAGUGCUUUAAAAAACCCUGAUGGCAGCAAUAAACCAGUCAUGAACAAGU
Apus apus (common swift) is the source of this 14663-nucleotide long non-coding RNA. RefSeq lists it as uncharacterized. NCBI's taxonomy places the organism in Eukaryota, Metazoa, Chordata, Aves, Apodiformes, Apodidae. The transcript has 8 exons. The record is from RefSeq and is a predicted model, not a curated record.